Molecule: ribosomal RNA, 207 nt
Filed under: uncultured bacterium
Lineage: Bacteria
Description: partial 16S ribosomal RNA
Rfam family: Bacterial small subunit ribosomal RNA
Source: RNAcentral
UGCGUAGGUGGCGCCGUCAGUGGGGUGUGAAAUUUCGGAGCUUAACUCCGAAACUGCAUUCCAUACUGCGGUGCUUGAGGACUGGAGAGGAGACUGGAAUUCAUGGUGUAGCAGUGAAAUGCGUAGAGAUCAUGAGGAAGACCAGUGGCGAAGGCGGGUCUCUGGACAGUUCCUGACACUGAGGCACGAAGGCUAGGGGAGCGAACG